Molecule: ribosomal RNA, 837 nt
Filed under: uncultured fungus
Lineage: Eukaryota; Fungi
Description: SSU rRNA
Rfam family: Eukaryotic small subunit ribosomal RNA
Source: RNAcentral
AGACAAACUACUGCGAAAGCAUUGCCAAGGAUGUUUUCAUUGAUCAAGAACGAAGGAAGGGGGAUCGAAAACGAUUAGAUACCGUUGUAGUCUCUUCUGUAAACUAUGCCAAUUGGGGAUCGGUACAGGAUUUUUAAUGACUGUAUCGGCACCCGAAGAGAAAUCUUUAAAUGAGGUUCGGGGGGGAGUAUGGUCGCAAGGCUGAAACUUAAAGGAAUUGACGGAAGGGCACCACCAGGUGUGGAGCCUGCGGCUUAAUUUGACUCAACACGGGGAAACUCACCAGGUCCAGACACAAUAAGGAUUGACAGAUUGAUAGCUCUUUCUUGAUCUUGUGGUUGGUGGUGCAUGGCCGUUCUUAGUUGGUGGAGUGAUUUGUCUGGUUAAUUCCGAUAACGAACGAGACCUUAACCUGCUAAAUAGACCAGCCGGCUUUGGCUAGCUGCUGUCUUCUUAGAGGGACUAUCAGCGUUUAGCUGAUGGAAGUUUGAGGCAAUAACAGGUCUGUGAUGCCCUUAGAUGUUCUGGGCCGCACGCGCGCUACACUGACAGAGCCAGCGAGUCUACCACCUUUGCCGGAAGGCAUGGGUAAUCUUGUGAAACUCUGUCGUGAUGGGGAUAGAACAUUGCAAUUAUUGUUCUUCAACGAGGAAUACCUAGUAAGCGUGAUUCAUCAGAUCGCGUUGAUUACGUCCCUGCCCUUUGUACACACCGCCCGUCGCUACUACCGAUUGAAUGGCUUAGUGAGGCCUCCGGAUUGGCUAUUGGGAGCUCGCGAGAGCACCCGACUGCCGAGAAGUUGUACAAACUUGGUCAUUAGAGGAAGUAAAAGUCGUA